This 488-nucleotide ribosomal RNA is filed under the name uncultured bacterium. RNAcentral describes it as "partial 16S ribosomal RNA". It matches the Rfam family "Bacterial small subunit ribosomal RNA", at positions 30 to 506 of the family's 1533-position model. The record is from RNAcentral.
UUGAACGCUGGCGGCAGGCCUAACACAUGCAAGUCGAACGGUAACAGGAAGCAGCUUGCUGCUUUGCUGACGAGUGGCGGACGGGUGAGUAAUGUCUGGGAAACUGCCUGAUGGAGGGGGAUAACUACUGGAAACGGUAGCUAAUACCGCAUAACGUCGCAAGACCAAAGAGGGGGACCUUAGGGCCUCUUGCCAUCGGAUGUGCCCAGAUGGGAUUAGCUAGUAGGUGGGGUAACGGCUCACCUAGGCGACGAUCCCUAGCUGGUCUGAGAGGAUGACCAGCCACACUGGAACUGAGACACGGUCCAGACUCCUACGGGAGGCAGCAGUGGGGAAUAUUGCACAAUGGGCGCAAGCCUGAUGCAGCCAUGCCGCGUGGAUGAAGAAGGCCUUCGGGUUGUAAAGUACUUUCAGCGGGGAGGAAGGGAGUAAAGUUAAUACCUUUGCUCAUUGACGUUACCCGCAGAAGAAGCACCGGCUAACUCCGU